AGCUCAGUUGGUAGAGUGCUUGCCUUGUAUGCACAAGGCCCUGGGUUCAAUCCCCAG
Molecule: transfer RNA, 57 nt
Filed under: Marmota marmota marmota (Alpine marmot)
Lineage: Eukaryota; Metazoa; Chordata; Mammalia; Rodentia; Sciuridae
Also listed under: 4 other names
Rfam family: tRNA
About the family: Transfer RNA (tRNA) molecules are approximately 80 nucleotides in length. Their secondary structure includes four short double-helical elements and three loops (D, anti-codon, and T loops).
Source: Rfam by way of RNAcentral